GACGAACGCUGGCGGCGUGCUUAACACAUGCAAGUCGAACGGAAAGGCCCUGCUUUUGUGGGGUGCUCGAGUGGCGAACGGGUGAGUAACACGUGAGUAACCUGCCCUUGACUUUGGGAUAACUUCAGGAAACUGGGGCUAAUACCCGAUAGGAGCUCCUGCUGCAUGGUGGGGGUUGGAAAGUUUCGGCGGUUGGGGAUGGACUCGCGGCUUAUCAGCUUGUUGGUGGGGUAGUGGCUUACCAAGGCUUUGACGGGUAGCCGGCCUGAGAGGGUGACCGGCCACAUUGGAACUGAGAUACGGCCCAGACUCCUACGGGAGGCAGCAGUGGGGAAUAUUGCACAAUGGGCGGAAGCCUGAUGCAGCAACGCCGCGUGCGGGAUGACGGCCUUCGGGUUGUAAACCGCUUUCGCCUGUGACGAAGCGUGAGUGACGGUAAUGGGUAAAGAAGCACCGGCUAACUACGUG
This 468-nucleotide ribosomal RNA is filed under the name uncultured bacterium. RNAcentral's name for it is "partial 16S ribosomal RNA". It matches the Rfam family "Bacterial small subunit ribosomal RNA", at positions 28 to 507 of the family's 1533-position model. The record is from RNAcentral.